RNAcentral lists this ribosomal RNA (409 nucleotides) under Verrucomicrobiota bacterium. RNAcentral's name for it is "Verrucomicrobia bacterium partial 16S ribosomal RNA". It matches the Rfam family "Bacterial small subunit ribosomal RNA", at positions 355 to 776 of the family's 1533-position model. The record is from RNAcentral. Lineage: Bacteria; Pseudomonadati; Verrucomicrobiota.
GGGGGAUUAUUGCACAAUGGGCGGAAGCCUGAUGCAGCGACGCCGCGUGAGGGAUGACGGCCUUCGGGUUGUAAACCUCUUUCAGUAGGGACGAAGCGUAAGUGACGGUACCUGCAGAAGAAGCACCGGCUAACUACGUGCCAGCAGCCGCGGUAAUACGUAGGGUGCGAGCGUUGUCCGGAAUUACUGGGCGUAAAGAGCUCGUAGGCGGUUUGUCACGUCGUCUGUGAAAUCCUAGGGCUUAACCCUGGACGUGCAGGCGAUACGGGCUGACUUGAGUACUACAGGGGAGACUGGAAUUUCUGGUGUAGCGGUGGAAUGAACAGAUAUCAGGAAGAAGACCGAUGGCGAAGGCAGGUCUCUGGGUAGUAACUGACGCUGAGGAGCGAAAGCAUGGGUAGCGAACAGG